Molecule: long non-coding RNA, 603 nt
Organism: Daphnia magna
Lineage: Eukaryota; Metazoa; Arthropoda; Branchiopoda; Diplostraca; Daphniidae
Exons: 4
Source: RefSeq, a predicted model, not a curated record
UGUGGAUACAGUCGCCAUGGUGAACGCGUCGUCGAGUACACUAGUCAAAAGAAUCGUACUCAAGCCAAGAAGAGGGUAGUUGGUGAAUAGCCCACCCUGACGACACAAAACAAGAAGUCUAAGAACAUUAUGAGACGAUUGUGUCAAGGAAAUCCUAGAAGACUACAGGAAGAUUCCACCCAAACACAAACGCAGAGAUCCCAAAGAUGACAAUGACAUUGACAGGACAAAUUUCAUAUAGUUGCAUCUUGUGCAGAAAAUACUGCCACUCAAGAGAAAUUGAAUUACUUCUUAAAGGUCCUUCAACUCAAGAUCGUAAAGGAAAGCAAAUUGGGAAAUUGCAGCAUCCCUCCGUCCCUAAAAAAAAAAGAAACUUUCCUAGAGCUAUGAAACACUCAUAACUUUGUAUUGGCCUGGUGCCAUGACCUACUGCAAAAGCUUUACAAGAGCUCACUCAAACAUAGCGCUCAUUACUACAAGCAACAUGUACCACAGAUACUAAUUCCGUCACCGUCACUUAAUCUUCGUUCCAUCUCACCUACACUACCCGAACACGACAUGAAUCAAACAGAAACACAGUAACAUAGUCUCCCUACCUGACAA